UACGUAGGGAGCUAGCGUUGUCCGGAAUCAUUGGGCGUAAAGCGCGCGUAGGCGGCCCGGUAAGUCCGCUGUGAAAGUCAAAGGCUCAACCUUUGAAUGUCAGCGGAUACUGCCGGGCUAGAGUCCGGAAGAGGCGAGUGGAACUCCUGGUGUAGCGGUGGAAUGCGCAGAUAUCAGGAAGAACACCAACGGCGAAGGCAGCUCGCUGGGACGGAACUGACGCUGAGAAGCGAAAGCAUGGGGAGCGAACAGG
Molecule: ribosomal RNA, 253 nt
Filed under: uncultured bacterium
Lineage: Bacteria
Description: partial 16S ribosomal RNA
Rfam family: Bacterial small subunit ribosomal RNA
Source: RNAcentral